This 108-nucleotide ribosomal RNA is filed under the name Meriones unguiculatus (Mongolian gerbil). Lineage: Eukaryota; Metazoa; Chordata; Mammalia; Rodentia; Muridae. The record is from RNAcentral.
GUCUAUAGCCAUACCACUGUGAAUGUGCCUGAUCUUGGAAGCUAAGUAGGGUCUGGCCUGUUUAAUGUUUGGAUGGGAGACUGACUGGGAAUGUGGGUGCUUUAAGCU